Molecule: long non-coding RNA, 3304 nt
Organism: Triticum dicoccoides
Lineage: Eukaryota; Viridiplantae; Streptophyta; Magnoliopsida; Poales; Poaceae
Exons: 5
Source: RefSeq, a predicted model, not a curated record
ACGCUCCCUUCUCCUCUCUCUCUCAACCCACUCGUGGCGGAGGCAGCAGGGGCAGGGCCCGCACUACCGUCGCAGAAGAGGGCUAGCGCGCCCGCACCGCCAUCGCAGAAGACUCCUUUUCCCCUUUUCCAUCCUUCUCCCUCUUUUCUCCGCCCGUUUCACUCGCCGUGGCCGAUGGACGCACCACCGGAGACCACGGCCACUCCGAAAACGGCGGCGAUGAGAAGGCUCAGCCCUUGGCGCAGACCCGCGAGGCGGCACAGCGAUGGCAGCAACAUUUUUCUCCAACCCGUUUCCGUUUGAGGCUACGACAGAUGUUUCUUGGUUUCCUCAGACGUCUGCGGGGUAGACCAUGCUGCCCGCCGUGAGGGGAGACGCCGCCCCAGGCACGAGCACCCCGCCGCCGAGAAGCUCGUCCAUGGCCAUGGGUAAGGCCUGUCACCAUCAGAAAGUGCAAGAAGAAAGCUCCGAGGAAGAUCCACAAAGCCGAUAGGGAGAAACAUGAGCCCGACCUGCUCAAUGAUCUCUUCAGUGAACUUGGCAAAAUAGGUCAGUUAAAUAGGUGUGCAUCAAUCACUAACCUCGACACCUCCUAGAUUAUGUCACUGCCAGCGUUGCUUCAGUUACCCUGUCUCUGAAUUUUGGGGAUCAUUUCCUUUGGAAUGUUGGACCUGAGCAUGGGUAUGUGUGAAUCUGCAUCAUGUUGUUACCAUCCAUUUCCAUGGCUUUUGGGGCGAGUAUAGGGGUUCAGUAUGUGUCAUGGAUUUCCUUAGUAGAUCCCAGUGAAUGUUUAUGCUGAUGAAAACGUGUAUGAACUCAUUCAAAAUUAGUAACACAUGUCUACAUAUAAAAUUGUGUAUUACCUGCAUCCAUUAAUUUCAAUCUUUUUCUAAUCCAUCAUGCAUGUCACGGUCGAUCUCUUGUAGUACAUGUUAUGUCACAUGGUAAUUCAUAGCAGCACUACAACGUAACAACCAAGCUGGGCGUUGUUCUUUACCAAUGCCUGUCUACUUGCUGUCAUCUCUAAGACACUAACUGCUCAACUAAUCGAUGAAAUUGUAGCCUUUUAGAAAUGCCCAGUUGUACCUCUUAAGUUUCCUGUUGUCAUUAUUUGCUUCACGUAGCCUGCUGUAUUAUUUGUCUACUUGAUGUCACUUCUAAGUUAUAACUACUGAACUGGUUGCAAGUGCUUUUAGUAUUCCACUCUCAGUCAUACACCAUGCCUGGUACUACGGGUCCUGCUACAAAAACUGAGGCUUCAUCAGUGAAAAAAUGCAGGUGCUUCAACUUUCACAGGUCUUCCUAAUUAUCUCUGUUCGAAACCGUCAGUUGCAAAUUCAGUUCCACUGAAUUCAAGCUUCAAGCAUCUGAGAGCAAGGCUGACAACUGCUGAGCAAGAUGAUCCUGAUAAAACAAGGGCAGCAGACUAAAUAGGUAAAGCUUGGUAUAACUUGCCACAUUUUGACUUAACUUGGGACCCAUGACUUCCAAUUCUGUCUACCAUUUGGCUUCUUGAUGUUGCAUGGGAACUCCUGGAGCACGUACAGUUGUUCAUUGCAAAGUGGGAUUUAUACAUGCCUACGUGUUGUCCAAUCAUGUUUGCUUACUGUAUGGUGUAUAUGCAACGAGGCACCCUAUGAGAUUUGGAUUUAUAGUUUUUUAUUCCAAAAAGUGGAAACAUAAACUCCGCCGCUGUAAAUUACAAAUUAUUUUGUUAACUUCCUUUCCAGCACAUUUAGGGUGUAUGAUCUUGUGCACAUUACAUGUAUAGUGUUGUGCACCAAUCUGGUUGAUGUUUACAUAAUCCAAGCAGAUUUACCAAUUAGAAGAGCCAUGUAUUAUUGUAGUUUUCUCUCUACAUCAAGUACACAUAAAUCUAAUGUCGUAGAAUGUAGUUUCUUUUAUUGUUCUGCAGAUCUUCCCCGUGAGGCGCUACAGAUCAGAUGGGCGCUGUCGUGAAGGCCGCGAAGGCGUGGCCGGCGGCAUGGGUUAGCCUGUGGGUGGUACCACCGUGCUGCUCUGGACGUGCAUUGUGGUGCUGCUCGUGGCGGCUUUCGAAGGGAGACAAAGUGGUAUGUGCUUUUCUAAACAUAUAUAUUCCUGAAGAACCUUUUUUGUAGUCCCGAUGAAUUGAGCGAUUUGUUCUCUCGUGUCUCUUCUCCUUCAUUUCUACCUUGAUGCAGCAGGACAUAGAGAAUUUGGGGGCUACUCGGGUUUGGAUCAGCAAGCCAUGUCUGUUUCGUUUGGCAAAGGCCUUUUAUCCUUUUUCUAUAAUGCCAUGAACGUCUCUGAAUUUUUACACUGCUUCCAGCCGAUGCUUAAUAUUUUUUCCAACAUAUUUGUGACUGGAGCCCACACAUACAUAGUCAUGGAUCUGAUUUUGUGUUUUGGAUCUUGCUAUUUCACUGAUUUGGAACAUCUAUAUGCAGUUCUAGGCUUCUAGCUAGAUGGAUUAAUAGAUAUGUUGGACCUAUGCAUUUUAUAUUACCCGCAUGGAUCUAUGUUUGUUAUUUGAUGCUCGUCCUUAUCCCGGGGAAGAAUUUUUGCAAAGAGAGGUCAUUUUUGGAGAUAUGGAUUUGUUGUCACUUCAGCAGUAUGCUUUUAGUGCUACAGAGUAUGCUGUGAAAUUAGAUUAGAUUGAUGAUUAGCGAUUAACUAUAGAACUGUUGGCAGCAACAGUUUAACAUAUGUUGAUUUCUGGCCCAUCUUUAUUUGCUUUAAACUAUGAAUUUGAAAACAAAAGAAUUCUACAUUUGUUGAUGCUAAAUUUAUCCGUCCUUUUGUUUUGAUAAUCACCUCUUGCAUAUGUGUUCCUGCGUAGUUUUUGUACUGCCACAGCUUGGUUGUUUUGGCAGGAUAAUGUAUUUUCUUAUGAAAAACACGAAUGAGUAAUUACAUGAUAUAUUAUUAAUAUUAGACUAUGUUGUUUCUCUGAAACUAACUUUGUAUUUCAGCUUUGGAAACUGGUGUUCUAAUGUUAGUUCCGACAAGAGGGCCACUAUAACCACCAACUAGUCUGAGUUUCGUCGCCAUGCCAACAUUCACGAAGGAGACGUCUGUGCAUUUUGUUUCAGGAUCACUUAAAAGCGCCGCCUGGUUUUCACCGUGCACCGCCUCUAGAUGCACCAUCGAAGACACUGCAGCCCCUGUGUCAAUAUAAUCUAGCACUAAGUACUCUUAAUUAUGCUCUAUCCUGUGAUAACCUAUGGUUUGCUUUUGGCCUUAUCACAAGCUUUUCAAGACGCUAAAUCUAUCUUGUUGCUUAUGUAAAGUGCACUAUUAUCAGUCAGAUGUUUCAUGUUCA